AUUGAACGCUGGCGGCAGGCCUAACACAUGCAAGUCGAGCGGAUGAAGGGAGCUUGCUCCUGGAUUCAGCGGCGGACGGGUGAGUAAUGCCUAGGAAUCUGCCUGGUAGUGGGGGAUAACGUCCGGAAACGGGCGCUAAUACCGCAUACGACCUGAGGGAGAAAGUGGGUGAUCUUCGGACCUCACGCUAUCAGAUGAGCCUAGGUCGGAUUAGCUAGUUGGUGGGGUAAAGGCCUACCAAGGCGACGAUCCGUAACUGGUCCGAGAGGAUGAUCAGUCACACUGGAACUGAGACACGGUCCAGACUCCUACGGGAGGCAGCAGUGGGGAAUAUUGGACAAUGGGCGAAAGCCUGAUCCAGCCAUGCCGCGUGUGUGAAGAAGGUCUUCGGAUUGUAAAGCACUUUAAGUUGGGAGGAAGGGCAGUAAGUUAAUACCUUGCUGUUUUGACGUUACCAACAGAAUAAGCACCGGCUAACUUCGUG
Molecule: ribosomal RNA, 484 nt
Filed under: uncultured bacterium
Lineage: Bacteria
Description: partial 16S ribosomal RNA
Rfam family: Bacterial small subunit ribosomal RNA
Source: RNAcentral